This 253-nucleotide ribosomal RNA is filed under the name uncultured bacterium. RNAcentral's name for it is "partial 16S ribosomal RNA". It matches the Rfam family "Bacterial small subunit ribosomal RNA", at positions 524 to 776 of the family's 1533-position model. The record is from RNAcentral.
UACGUAGGCAGCGAGCGUUGUUCGGAAUUACUGGGCGUAAAGAGUGUGUAGGCGGUGCUCCCAGUCUGUUGUGAAAUCUCCCGGCUUAACUGGGAGGGUGCAGCGGAAACUAGAGUGCUAGAGGGUGGGAGAGGUAAGCGGAAUUCCUGGUGUAGCGGUGAAAUGCGUAGAUAUCAGGAGGAACACCUGUGGCGAAAGCGGCGCACUGGACCACAACUGACGCUGAGGCGCGAAAGCUAGGGGAGCAAACAGG